CUGCUAGUAUGUGCUUCUACCACCCACCUCUGUCACUGCUACCCCUGUCUGUGUGUGCGAUGCCGGCCUUCUCCAUCAUAAAGUCCUGUAUAGUGCACAGGGCUGAGAAAUGCUAUGCUAGGGCUACCUGUUUAUAAUCAUGUCUUAUAAUCAUCCCAAUCCCCACAUUUAUACCAUGACCAAACUUUAACACCAACAGAAAAAAAAUUCCACAAAUCUCAGUAUUGCAAUCCAGCACCGCUAAUGACCCACAAUCUUAUUUACCCAAUAUCUACUGCACAAAUGUGUCCAUAAUAAGUCUCAGAAUAUCCAU
Molecule: non-coding RNA, 313 nt
Organism: Pelobates cultripes (western spadefoot toad)
Lineage: Eukaryota; Metazoa; Chordata; Amphibia; Anura; Pelobatidae
Source: the annotation of a GenBank genome assembly